RNAcentral lists this ribosomal RNA (469 nucleotides) under uncultured bacterium. RNAcentral's name for it is "partial 16S ribosomal RNA". It matches the Rfam family "Bacterial small subunit ribosomal RNA", at positions 28 to 507 of the family's 1533-position model. The record is from RNAcentral.
GACGAACGCUGGCGGCGUGCUUAACACAUGCAAGUCGAACGGAAAGGCCCUGCUUGCAGGGUGCUCGAGUGGCGAACGGAUGAGUAACACGUGGGUGAUCUGCCCCUUACUUUGGGAUAAGCCUGGGAAACUGGGUCUAAUACUGGAUAGGACCAUGCUGUAGGUGGUGUGGUGGAAAGAUUAGUUUCGGUAAGGGAUGAGCUCGCGGCCUAUCAGCUUGUUGGUGGGGUAAUGGCCUACCAAGGCGUCGACGGGUAGCCGGCCUGAGAGGGUGGACGGCCACAUUGGGACUGAGAUACGGCCCAGACUCCUACGGGAGGCAGCAGUGGGGAAUAUUGCACAAUGGGCGCAAGCCUGAUGCAGCGACGCCGCGUGGGGGAUGACGGCCUUCGGGUUGUAAACUCCUUUCAGCCAUGACGAAGCCCUUGUGGUGACGGUAGUGGUAGAAGAAGCACCGGCUAACUACGUG